This 468-nucleotide ribosomal RNA is filed under the name uncultured bacterium. Its description in RNAcentral is "partial 16S ribosomal RNA". It matches the Rfam family "Bacterial small subunit ribosomal RNA", at positions 28 to 507 of the family's 1533-position model. The record is from RNAcentral.
GACGAACGCUGGCGGCGUGCUUAACACAUGCAAGUCGAACGGAAAGGCCCUGCUUUUGUGGGGUGCUCGAGUGGCGAACGGGUGAGUAACACGUGAGUAACCUGCCCUUGACUUUGGGAUAACUUCAGGAAACUGGGGCUAAUACCGGAUAGGAGCUCCUGCUGCAUGGUGGGGGUUGGAAAGUUUCGGCGGUUGGGGAUGGACUGGCGGCUUAUCAGCUUGUUGGUGGGGUAGUGGCUUACCAAGGCUUUGACGGGUAGCCGGCCUGAGAGGGUGACCGGCCACAUUGGGACUGAGAUACGGCCCAGAAUCCUACGGGAGGCAGCAGUGGGGAAUAUUGCACAAUGGGCGGAAGCCUGAUGCAGCAACGCCGCGUGCGGGAUGACGGCCUUCGGGUUGUAAACCGCUUUCGCCUGUGACGAAGCGUGAGUGACGGUAAUGGGUAAAGAAGCACCGGCUAACUACGUG